This is a long non-coding RNA of Protopterus annectens (West African lungfish), 806 nucleotides long. RefSeq lists it as uncharacterized. The transcript has 2 exons. The record is from RefSeq and is a predicted model, not a curated record. NCBI's taxonomy places the organism in Eukaryota, Metazoa, Chordata, Ceratodontiformes, Protopteridae.
GGUUCUUGUGCAGCGCGCGGCCCCGCUUUCACGUUUAACAUCGGGGUCACGUCUGCUGACGUCACGCAGCAUCUCCUGUACGUCCAGCCACAUUUACAUACAUCAAGAAAAUUAGGGCAUAAAAUAUGCAAAUCCUGCUAAACACUCGCUUCCAGUAACCAUCAUUAACAGAGAUUUUAAAGUAAACCUCGCUUCAGAACAAGUAAAACUUACUUCUCUCUGCGGAGACGAUUUUCACUGAAGAACGGGAUGGAGCGGAAGAAUCCUUUGCAUAAUAAAGCUGCUGCUGCGCCAUUCUCACCUCCUGCUGCCGUUGGUUCCGUCUGUGUAUUAUUUUUAAUACUGAUGCAUAUGUAAAGGACCUUUUGCUCCAGAGGCCACGACGUAAUGCUUUUGUUGGAGUCUUCACUUUUAUGGAUUAGUCAGUGUGAAAUUAUGAACAAAAAUGAGCAACGAAAACCAGGAUACUAAAGUCUUCUUCGUUAAAAAAUGAAAAGUUGAAAGGAUGAAUGAAUGAAUAAUAAACGAAGUAACUACAUAAACGAACAAACAAACGGAUGCACAUUUAACUGCUUACUAAUUCCAAAGUAAGAUCCGUUUGAAUUGCGAUUGUUUUACACAGGUGCAAUAUGUUUUACCACUCUUGCUCAAAUAAAAAUGUCUGCCUAAAGAACAUUGGCGAUAAAAAUGCACUGUUUGGAAUGGUAAUAUCCGCAGUUUUUUGUAAUACAAUGACUGGUUGUACUCGUUUACAAGUUAAGAAUUGUUACUGUCUCAUAACUUCAAUAAAAUGUGCAUUUUUUAUA